Long non-coding RNA from Triplophysa dalaica, 792 nucleotides. RefSeq lists it as uncharacterized. The transcript is spliced from 4 exons. The record is from RefSeq and is a predicted model, not a curated record. NCBI's taxonomy places the organism in Eukaryota, Metazoa, Chordata, Actinopteri, Cypriniformes, Nemacheilidae.
GGCUGAUCAAGUUAUCGCGUCCCAUCACCAGAGGUCUCGUGCUUGUCCAUUUCUGACGAAGACUCUUUCUCCUCAACGAGCCAAAAUCUUUUAUUUCGGGGGCGUAUGAUCCCUCGACCGGACCUGUCUGUCUCUUCUCGAACACAUGGAGUGCCCAAAAUAGCAAAAGAGGUUUUUGCAAUCAUCUGCAGUCAUUUGUUUGGAGAGUUUAGCAUCACAGUGAUUUUGUGCCUGGCAAGCGCAACCUCAAGUAAACAAGAAGCCAUCAGGGAUGUGAAUCUUGAUGUGAAGCCGUGGGGGCCGUUUUCUCUGGACAGCUUUAUGUGUGGAUUUGAGACAUCUCAGCAUGAGAGAGACAUCUUUACGGGCAGCACUGUCUGAGAAAUACAGGCAGGACCAGAGGAGUGCCUGAUAUCAGAAGUGCAGAGACCCAAACAAGCUUUAUCAGCUCAUUAAAACCAAUGCCCGAGUAUCUGUCCUUAAAAAGCAAUGUGGAGAUGUGAAUCUUCUUUGCCAAUGUGUCACUUUUUUAGAUUUAAGGUGAAUCAGAUUUGGAUAUAGUUUAAAUAGAACUGCUCGGGAAGCAAUUACACAAUUAAAAAAAUACACAACAGAAUAUUUUAAGUACUAUGUGCAUCUAUCUGAUGUCAACUUUUUAAAGUGAACAUAUGCAGAGAUUUAAUCCAUUCCUCGAAAAUAAUUUUGAGGUACCCCAGAUGUCAUUAUUCUCUGCUGAUGUGUUGGAACGUAAAUUAAAAAACACAAAUGAAUGGGGAAAUCUAUUCUAAUAUC